Molecule: ribosomal RNA, 506 nt
Filed under: uncultured Glomus
Lineage: Eukaryota; Fungi; Glomeromycota; Glomeromycetes; Glomerales; Glomeraceae
Description: SSU rRNA
Rfam family: Eukaryotic small subunit ribosomal RNA
Source: RNAcentral
AGCAGCCGCGGUAAUUCCAGCUCCAAUAGCGUAUAUUAAAGUUGUUGCAGUUAAAAAGCUCGUAGUUGAAUUUCGGGAUCAAUACGUCGGUCGUGCUUUCGGGUACGUACUGGCGUCAUUGGUUUCUCCUUUCUGACGAACCAUGAUGUCAUUUAUUUGGUGUUGUGGGGAUUCAGGACUGUUACUUUGAAAAAAAUUAGAGUGUUUAAAGCAGGCUCACGCUUGAAUACAUUAGCAUGGAAUAAUGAGAUAGGACGUUUGACUCUAUUUUGUUGGUUUCUAGGAUCGACGUAAUGAUUAAUAGGGAUAGUUGGGGGCAUUAGUAUUCAAUUGUCAGAGGUGAAAUUCUUGGAUUUAUUGAAGACUAACUACUGCGAAAGCAUUUGCCAAGGAUGUUUUCAUUAAUUCAAGAACGAAAGUUAGGGGAUCGAAGACGAUCAGAUACCGUCGUAGUCUUAACCAUAAACUAUGCCGACUAGGGAUCGGAUGAUGUUAAUUUUUAAUGA